Molecule: ribosomal RNA, 465 nt
Filed under: uncultured bacterium
Lineage: Bacteria
Description: partial 16S ribosomal RNA
Rfam family: Bacterial small subunit ribosomal RNA
Source: RNAcentral
CCUACGGGCGACAGCAGUGGGGAAUAUUGCACAAUGGGCGCAAGCCUGAUGCAGCCAUGCCGCGUGUAUGAAGAAGGCCUUCGGGUUGUAAAGUACUUUCAGCGGGGAGGAAGGGAGUAAAGUUAAUACCUUUGCUCAUUGACGUUACCCGCAGAAGAAGCACCGGCUAACUCCGGGCCAGCAGCCGCGGUAAUACGGAGGGUGCACGCGGUAAUCGGAAUUACUGGGCGUAGGGCGCACGCAGGCGGUUUGUUAAGUCAGAUGGGAAAUCCCCGGACUCAACCUGGGAACUGCAUCUGAUAGUGGCAAGCUUGAGUCUCGUAGAGGUGGGUAGAAUGCCAGGUGUAGCGGUGAAAUGCGUAGAGAUCUGGAGGAAUACCGGUGGCGAAGGCGGCCCCCUGGACGAAGACUGACGCUCAGGUGCGAAAGCGUGGGGAGCAAACAGGAUUAGAUACCCUUGUAGUC